GGAGGCAGCAGUGGGGAAUAUUGCACAAUGGGCGCAAGCCUGAUGCAGCCAUGCCGCGUGUAUGAAGAAGGCCUUCGGGUUGUAAAGUACUUUCAGCAGUGAGGAAGGUGUUGUCGUUAAUAGCGGCAUCAUUUGACGUUAGCUGCAGAAGAAGCACCGGCUAACUCCGUGCCAGCAGCCGCGGUAAUACGGAGGGUGCGAGCGUUAAUCGGAAUUACUGGGCGUAAAGCGCAUGCAGGUGGUUUGUU
This 248-nucleotide ribosomal RNA is filed under the name Vibrio neptunius. Its description in RNAcentral is "partial 16S ribosomal RNA". It matches the Rfam family "Bacterial small subunit ribosomal RNA", at positions 344 to 584 of the family's 1533-position model. The record is from RNAcentral. Lineage: Bacteria; Pseudomonadati; Pseudomonadota; Gammaproteobacteria; Vibrionales; Vibrionaceae.